This 254-nucleotide long non-coding RNA is filed under the name Mustela putorius furo (domestic ferret). RNAcentral's name for it is "lncRNA (ENSMPUG00000024304.1)". Lineage: Eukaryota; Metazoa; Chordata; Mammalia; Carnivora; Mustelidae. The record is from RNAcentral.
CCUCAACCAAAAUUAUUGUCAAGGAAAGAGAGAAAUUCAUAAGGAGAACAUGAGAUCGUAGACUGGAUCACUUGAAAGAGCUCAAGGACCCUGAGGACCCAAUAUGAAAUCAAUGUGAUCAUUUCUUUUGUAAUGAGCCACCCAGGCACAACUGGCCUUAGAGAGAGAGAUUGUCUUGUGGAAUUCUUGAGGCAUCUCAUAUCUUUAGCAUUUAGCAGCGUCUGGGUCCCCACUGAUGUGAUUGAUGAAUAGGU